This 346-nucleotide ribosomal RNA is filed under the name uncultured bacterium. RNAcentral describes it as "partial 16S ribosomal RNA". It matches the Rfam family "Bacterial small subunit ribosomal RNA", at positions 355 to 713 of the family's 1533-position model. The record is from RNAcentral.
UGGGGAAUAUUGCACAAUGGGCGAAAGCCUGAUGCAGCAACGCCGCGUGAGGGACGACGGCCUUCGGGUUGUAAACCUCUUUUAGCAAGGAAGAAGCGAAAGUGACGGUACUUGCAGAAAAAGCGCCGGCUAACUACGUGCCAGCAGCCGCGGUAAUACGUAGGGCGCAAGCGUUAUCCGGAAUUAUUGGGCGUAAAGAGCUCGUAGGCGGUUUGUCGCGUCUGCUGUGAAAACCCGAGGCUCAACCUCGGGCCUGCAGUGGGUACGGGCAGACUAGAGUGCGGUAGGGGAGAUUGGAACUCCUGGUGUAGCGGUGGAAUGCGCAGAUAUCAGGAAGAACACCAAU